RNAcentral lists this ribosomal RNA (484 nucleotides) under uncultured bacterium. Its description in RNAcentral is "partial 16S ribosomal RNA". It matches the Rfam family "Bacterial small subunit ribosomal RNA", at positions 30 to 507 of the family's 1533-position model. The record is from RNAcentral.
AUUGAACGCUGGCGGCAGGCCUAACACAUGCAAGUCGAGCGGAUGAAGGGAGCUUGCUCCUGGAUUCAGCGGCGGACGGGUGAGUAAUGCCUAGGAAUCUGCCUGGUAGUGGGGGAUAACGUCCGGAAACGGGCGCUAAUACCGCAUACGUCCUGAGGGAGAAAGGGGGGGAUCUUCGGACCUCACGCUAUCAGAUGAGCCUAGGUCGGAUUAGCUAGUUGGUGGGGUAAAGGCCUAGCAAGGCGACGAUCCGUAACUGGUCUGAGAGGAUGAUCAGUCAGACUGGAACUGAGACAGGGUCCAGACUCCUACGGGAGGCAGCAGUGGGGAAUAUUGGACAAUGGGCGAAAGCCUGAUCCAGCCAUGCCGCGUGUGUGAAGAAGGUCUUCGGAUUGUAAAGCACGUUAAGUUGGGAGGAAGGGCAGUAAGUUAAUACCUUGCUGUUUUGACGUUACCAACAGAAUAAGCACCGGCUAACUACGUG